AGAAUUUAAUGGGAACUAAGAAUCAAAUUUCUUUAACUUUAGUUUGCCUCAACCAAAUAUAAUGAAUCUUAUACACAAUGCUGAUUACCACAAAACAGAUGAAAGUUUGAAUUUUGGUGGCGUCACUUUUACCGUUCUAGAGUUAUGCCCCAUUACAAAUGGAAAAAUUGCCGAAUUUUUUGUUUCCAUUCUCUAACUUAAGUUUGCCUAAACCAAAUGUUUGUCUGUCCCGCUUCAGGUUAAAGUUUUUGGUCAAGGUAGUUUUUGAUGAAGUUGAAGUCCAAUCAACUUGAAUCUUAGUACACAUAUUCCCUAUGAUAUGAUCUUUCUAAUUUUAAUGCCCAAUUUCAAGGUCCACUGAACAGAAAAAAUGAUAGUGCGAGUGGGGCAUCCGUGUACUAUGGACACAUUCUUGUUUUUAUACGACCGCAAAAAUUGAAAAUUUUUUGGUCGUAUAUUGGUAUGACGUUGGCGUCGUCGUCGUCGUCGUUGUCGUCGUCAUCGUCGUCGUCCGAAGACACAUUAGUUUUCGCACUCUAACUUUAGUUUAAGUUAAUGGAUCUCCAUGAAAUUUUACCAUAAGGUUCAAUACCAUGAAAGGAAGGUUGGGAUUGAUUUUGGGGGUUAUGGUACCAACAGUUAAGGAAUUAGGGGCCAAAAAGGGGCCAAAAAUAAGCAUUUUUGUAACUUCCAGACAAUAACUUGUGUGUAAGUGUAUGGAUCUCUCUGACAUUGUACCACAAGGUUCCAUAUCACAUAGGAAGGCUGUAAUUGAUUUUGGGGGUAAUUGCCUCAAAAUUUUAAGAUAAGGGGCCAAAAAAGGGGCAAAAAACAAGCAUUUUUCUAGUUUCAUGACAAUAACUUGUGUGUAAGUGUUUGGAUAUUUCUUAAAUUGUACUACAAGGUUCCAUAUCACAAAGGGAAAGCUGGAAUUGAGUUUGGGGGUAAUUGCCCGAAACGUUUAGGAAUUGGGGGCCAAAAAGGGGCCAAAAAUAAGCAUUUUUCUAGUUUCCAGACAAUAACUUGUGUUCAAUUGUAUGGAUAUCUCUGAAAUUAUACUGCAAGAUACCAUACCACAAAGGGAAGGCUGGGAUUGAGUUUGGGGGUGAUGAAUCAUAAGGGGGUUCAAAAAAUUUGGGGGGGGGGGGGGUUCUUUUUUUUUUCUUUUUUUCCUUUUUUUUUUCUUUUAAAAUUUUCCAUUUUAAGUUGGUUAUUUCUGAUUUAUAUUUAAAAGCAAAUAAUAAUGAUAUGGUAGGAAAUACACACCAAACAGGAUGUGUAAAUUAUUAUACAAUAAGUAUUGUGCAAUAGCAAGAUAUUUUCAAUUGCACAGUAUUGCACAAUAGCAAGAAAUCUUCAAUUGCACAGUAUUGCGCAAUAGCAAGAAAUCUUCAAUUGCACAGUAUUGCGCAAUAGCAAGAAAUAUCCAAUAGCACAAUAUUGCGCAAUAGCAAGAAAUUGUCAAUUGUACAGUAUUGCGCAAUAGCAAGAAAUAUUCAAUUGCACAGUAUUGUGCAAAAGAAUAUACUUUGUAUAAAUUGCUUAUUUCUUGAUCAAUUUCAAUGGGGUUUUAUUCUUGAAUUCUUGGGGUUCUUUAAUAUGCUGAAUCUAACCAUGUAUUAAGUUUUUGGAUUUUGGGCCCUGUUUUUAAAUUGGUCCACAUUGAGGUCCAAAGGGUCCAAAAUUUAACUUUGUUUGAUUUCAUCAAAAAUUGAAUUAUUGGGGUUCUGUGAUAUGCCGAAUCUAACCGUGUAUUUAGAUUCUUAAUUUUUGGUUCCGUUUUCAAAUUGGUCUACAUAAAGGUCCAAAGGGUCCAAAAUUAAACUUAGUUUGAUUUCAACAAAAAUUGAAUAUAUGGGGUUCUUUGAUAUGCUGAAUCUAACCAUGUAUUUAGAUUUUUGAUUAUGGGCCCAGUUUUCAAGUUGGUCCAAAUCGGGGUCCAAAAUUUAACUUUGUUUGAUUUCAACAAAAAUUGAAUAUAUGGGGUUCUUUCAUAUGCUGAAUAUAACCGUGUAUUAAGUUUUUGGAUUUUGGGCCCCGUUUUUAAAUUGGUUCACAUUGAGGUCCAAAGGGUCCAAAAUUUAACUUUGUUUGAUUUCAUCAAAAAUUGAAUUAUUGGGGUUCUUUGAUAUGCUGAAUCUAACCGUGUAUUUAGAUUCUUAAAUUUUUGGUUCCAUUUUCAAAUUGGUCUACAUAAAGGUCCAAAGGGUCCAAAAUUAAACUUAGUUUGAUUUUAACAAAAAUUGAAUUUUUAGGGUUCUUUGAUAUGCUGAAUCUAAACAUGUGUUUAGAUUUUUGAUUAUGGGCCCAGUUUUCAAGUUGGUCCAAAUCGGGGUCCAAAAUUAAACUUUAUUUGAUUUCAACAAAAAUUGAAUAUAUGGGGUUCUUUGAUAUGCUGAAUCUAACCAUGUAUUUAGAUUUUUGAUUUUUGGGCCCCGUUAUCAACUUUGUCCACAUUGUGAUCAAAAGGGUCCAAAAUUAAACUUUGUUUGAUUUCAUCAAAAAUUGAAUUCUUGGGGUUCUUUGAUAUGCUGAAUCUAACCAUGUAUUUAGAUUUUGGAUAUUGGACCAUAAUAGGUGAAUGUCCAAUUUAAAAUUUUUAAGUUCUUAGACCACAUUCAUUCUGUGUCAGAAACCUAUGCUGUGUCAAAUAUUUAAUCACAAUCCAAAUUCAGAGCUGUAUCAAGCUUGAAUGUUGUGUCCAUACUUGCCCCAACUGUUCAGGGUUCGACCUCUGCGGUCGUAUCAAGCUGCGCCCUGCGGAGCAUUUUAUUAAAAGAGUUAUGCCCCUUGGAGAUAUUAAUUAUAUGGAAAAUUGCACCGUUAGCACUCUCAUGUGUACAGUUCUUGCCAGAAUUUUAUGAAAUUUAUAUCAUACGUUUAUAUCAGCAAGGUCUUUCGAAAAAGUGUUGAUCAAAUAUUUUUAACGAGUUAUGCCCCUUGGAAAUUUUAAUUAUAUUGGAAAUCACAUUGAAUUUGCUGUGAGGCAGACAUUUCUCUAAGAUGAUUAUCAACAGUUUUAAAGAACAGAAAAAAAGUGUACAAGUUUUGACAUAAUAUGAAUAAAAAGGUAAACCAGUGAAACAAUAACAUCCUAACAACACAAAUAAUAAAAAAACGCAGUAGAGUUCUCAAUAGACAGGUACACAAUCUAAAUAAAAAAAACAAAAAAACAAAUAAAA
This is a long non-coding RNA of Mytilus californianus (California mussel), 3182 nucleotides long. RefSeq lists it as uncharacterized. The record is from RefSeq and is a predicted model, not a curated record. Lineage: Eukaryota; Metazoa; Mollusca; Bivalvia; Mytilida; Mytilidae. The transcript has 2 exons.